CUUCGGCCAGUCCUUCCUUUUUCCUCUAACCCUGCAAAAAAUGAGCAGCGCUGUUGUUUUGUUCCAACUGACAAAACAGCUAAGAAACAGCAGAACAUGACUGCCCUUUGCAAAAUGGGCCAUGUGAUCCUCCUAGCUCAAUUCAACACUUACAGUAAAAACGAAUAGAAAGGGACCUGUUUAUGAAACUCUCCUGCUUGCCUUUGGAAUACUCUCAUCCUCUCCCUUCUCAGCCUCCUAAAUACCCAAGUGAAUUUAUAUAAUGAGCUUUAUUUUAUCACCCUGAAAUUCUUCCUCAGUCCAAAUUGCUAAUGUGGCAGGUUCCAGCUGCCCAAAUUCCCUAAACAACAUUGCCUGUUCCAUAAAAAGCAUGCAAUUACAAGCACAGCAGUCCUGCUCUGGUUCUUAGAACUAUAAACUGACUACACAGCUCCCUGGCCCGGGAAGGCUAUGAAACAGGCAACAUGGACAAUUUAAAGGUGUACAACAUCCGAGGUUCCAUUUCACCCUCAGGCAGCACGGAGUGGACAAGAGAUGGGGUCUCACUUUGUCACCCAGGCUGGGCUCAAACUCUUGGCUUCAAGCGAUCUUCUCGCCUUGGUCUCCCAAAGUGCUGGGAUUACAGGCUUGAACUACUGUACUCGACUGACUUUUCCUAUUUCUAAUGUCAGCAUGAAGAACACAAGAAGUCAGCUUCAAAGAUAAUGAAAAAUAAAACCAAGAUUCUCUUCUUUGCUGAUGAAGUCAGGAAGGUGGAAAGGGCAAAGCAAGAACUCUCACUCUUACCCUAUGAGUAAUUUCAAUAGAAAUCAAAGGCGUUAACUUCUCGGGUCCUCAAUUUUUUCUUCUCUAAAAAGAAAGAAUUGUUUAAUAAAACUCAUCCAAGGCUACAAUCAUCAAUGGCAGCUAAAACCACUUAGUGAAAGAAUUUUUUUUUUAAUAAAAAAAGGACAUUGGAUGAUGUCUCAACUCCCAAGCACUUGAUGUUUGACUUGGGAGUGGUGCCCUCAGUCACACCUAAAACUAUCUGCGGCAGACCCUGUUCUUUUUGGCUGACACAAAUGCCAUUCCCAACCUCCUUCUCCUCCUGUCUUGUCUCAAUCGUAGAGUCUAGAAGAGCAAACAUUCACUUUGCAGCCUCCCUUGUACCAAGGAGUGGCCAUGAGACAAUUCUGCCCAAUGAAUCAGAAGAGGAAUUGUGUUGAGGAUUUCUGGAAAGACUACUUCUUUUCCCAAGAAAAAGUGACAGACGCAGUAGGGGCUGAGCAACUUCCGUGCCUCUUCCAGCCUUACGGAUGUGCUGUUGGUAGCUGUGACUGCCUUGCUACUACGAGGAAAAGGAAGGCCAAGAGAAUAGCAGAGACACUCGCUCUGAUGCCUUUGAGCCAAUGAAUCAAUGCCAGAAGCAGCUGACCUCCAGAGUUCUUG
This 1428-nucleotide long non-coding RNA is filed under the name Homo sapiens (human). RNAcentral's name for it is "HSALNT0193258". The record is from RNAcentral. Lineage: Eukaryota; Metazoa; Chordata; Mammalia; Primates; Hominidae.